This 631-nucleotide long non-coding RNA is filed under the name Setaria viridis. RNAcentral describes it as "long non-coding RNA (SVIR_LNC004617)". The record is from RNAcentral. Lineage: Eukaryota; Viridiplantae; Streptophyta; Magnoliopsida; Poales; Poaceae.
UCGAUGCAGCCCAGCUUGCUAGAAGGAACUCGUCGAGAAUCUACAUUACUCCUACUCCUAGGGCAAUGGCGUGAAGCCGAAAGGUAAAGGUAAAUAUGUUGUAUUAUUGAUCGUGUGAUGAUUCUUUACAAUGGCCACGUCCCUUUAUAUUUAUAGGGCGGACGUUACAUAAUUGGCAUCUAACCACGCACAAGGCAAGUCACGUACACAAUCUUUUCUAAUAAAAAACUCUAUCUCUAACUAACCCAACUCUAUCUCUAAAAUAUUUUAUUCUAUGAAACAACCUUCCGUACAUGCACAGAUCGGCCGCAUGCAUAAUUAUUCUGGAAGCCUCCCACGCAUGGCAUGCAAAGUGCACCAGAAUCCAUGUUGUAUAUUCUAAUCAUUUUUAUCCAUACGUGCUGACCUUUCCUUUAUAUCAUCCUUGCCUUUCCUUGCUGAUCAAUCCAAUGAAGCCGAUUUGGACUCCGUGCCCAUAUACACGCAUGCUAGCUUCUUAUUGUUGUACAUGACUCCAAUUAUCUUGUACUCCGAAUUUAUAGGAUUGGUCAAAAUCCGGUGUCAACACUGUCAACAACAUCUAAGGCCGAUAAGAUCUUCAACUUGCUGCUAUAGGAAGGACAGAUCAAUC